RNAcentral lists this ribosomal RNA (498 nucleotides) under Geitlerinema sp. NR7(2012). RNAcentral's name for it is "bacterial SSU rRNA". It matches the Rfam family "Bacterial small subunit ribosomal RNA", at positions 216 to 727 of the family's 1533-position model. Lineage: Bacteria; Bacillati; Cyanobacteriota; Cyanophyceae; Geitlerinematales; Geitlerinemataceae. The record is from RNAcentral.
CGCCUAAAGAUGAGCUCGCGUCCGAUUAGCUAGUAGGUAGUGUAAAUGGACUACCUAGGCGAUGAUCGGUAGCUGGUUUGAGAGGACAAUCAGCCACACUGGGACUGACACACGGCCCAGACUCCUACGGGAGGCAGCAGUGGGGAAUUUUCCGCAAUGGGCGCAAGCCUGACGGAGCAAUACCGCGUGGGGGAGGAAGGUCUGUGGAUUGUAAACCCCUUUUCUCAGGGAAGAAGCUCUGACGGUACCUGACGAAUCAGCAUCGGCUAAUUCCGUGCCAGCAGCCGCGGUAAUACCGAGGAUGCAUGCGUUAUCCGGAAUUAUUGGGCGUAAAGCGUCCGCACGCGGCUAGAUCAGUCUGCUUUCAAAGAGUGGGGCUCAUCCCCAUAAAGGGAGUGGAAACUGUUUAGCUAGAGUAUGGUAGGGGCAGAGGGAAUUCCCAGUGUAGCGGUGAAAUGCGUAGAUAUUGGGAAGAACUACCAGUGGACGAAAGCUGCU